GCAGAGGACAUAACUUAGUGGUAGAGUGUCUGCCUGGUGCACACAGGACCUGAGUUCAAUCCCCAAUUCUGCA
This 73-nucleotide transfer RNA is filed under the name Marmota monax (woodchuck). RNAcentral describes it as "tRNA.Thr". The record is from RNAcentral. Lineage: Eukaryota; Metazoa; Chordata; Mammalia; Rodentia; Sciuridae.